AUAUUUCACAAUGGGCGCAAGCCUGAUGCAGCCAUGCCGCGUGUAUGAAGAAGGCCUUCGUGUUGUAAAGUACUUUCAGCGGGGAGGAAGGGAGUGAGGUUAAUAACCUUAUUCACUGACGUUACCCGCAGAAGAAGCACCGGCUAACUUCGUGCCAGCAGCCGCGGUACUACGGAGGCUGCAAGCGUUAAUCGGAAUUACUGGGCGUAAAGCGCACGCAGGCGGUCUGUCAAGUCGGAUGUGAAAUCCCCGGGCUCAACCUGGGAACUGCAUUCGAAACUGGCAGGCUAGAGUCUUGUAGAGGGGGGUAGAAUUCCAGGUGUAGCGGUGAAAUGCGUAGAGAUCUGGAGGAAUACCGGUGGCGAAGGCGGCCCCCUGGACAAAGACUGACGCUCAGGUGCGAAAGCGUGGGGAGCAAAC
Molecule: ribosomal RNA, 420 nt
Filed under: uncultured bacterium
Lineage: Bacteria
Description: bacterial SSU rRNA
Rfam family: Bacterial small subunit ribosomal RNA
Source: RNAcentral